AGCAGAAUUAUUGAGUCAUAUGGUAAUUCUAUAUUUAAUUUAUUAAAGAACUACCAAAUUGUUUUCCACAGUAGCUACACCACUUACUUUCUUACCAGCAAU
RNAcentral lists this microRNA precursor (102 nucleotides) under Marmota monax (woodchuck). The record is from RNAcentral. Lineage: Eukaryota; Metazoa; Chordata; Mammalia; Rodentia; Sciuridae.